AGGUCUCAUUUGUAUCAGUCCACACACAUGCAAUGCAUUCAACCUGAAGUUGCUUUUAAAGCAAGUGUACAAAUACAAUAGUUUUUUUUUUUUUUUUUUUUUACUGUUACUUGAGUGCAUUCAUCAAAUCUGGAUUAGUUUAAAUGUGUCUUAAUUUUUCAUGGUUAUGCAUUUUAUCUAAAUGCUGGACUAAAAGCAGAUAAAUGUGUAAUGGAUUGAGGAGUUUUUGUCAUUACGUCUACAUUUAAUGGCAUGCCUGAGUCAAGCUAAAGCAUUGUGCCCAUUGAACAUGAUGGUUUAUGUAAAGGUUUUUCUUCUGUGCAUUGCAGAGUGACUUCACUUUUUUUUUUCUUUACAUGUAGUUGUAAGAAUCUUGCCUAACCAAAUUUAAGUGUAAAAUAGAUGUACAUGUAUCCUGAAAUUCCUGCUGUUGCUCGUUUUAACCAUUGGGGUCUUAAAAUCUAUAAGCUAAUCAACAGAAAGCUUAAUUCACCCGUGACUGAAUAUGCUUUAUGUGAUUCUAAACCUGUGUCCUUAAAACUUGCACGAUAUAUUCUUAUUUGAUAGUGUAAUUCACAAAAAAAUAUGUAUAGCAUGGAAUAUAGUGUGGUGACUGCAGUGGAGUUUAUCGGGUUGCUUCAGUAGAAUCUAUGACCGUGCUCUGAUUCUCGAGUUCACCUAAUGAUUGAAUUGAUCAGGAUAAAGCAGAGAGCAGCCCUCAGCCUCGCUGACUGUCAGAUGAGUGUGUCCUCAGCCUGCAGAAGCUCCACUGCGAGUGUUUUCAUGUGAAGAUGUCGUUCUGAUGUCAGCAGGUGUAUGUUCAGGAUGCGUCGCUCGCCGGCUCUGCGCUGUGUGUGUGUUUGUGUGCUGCUGAGUGUGUGCUGUCGAGCGUUUGAGCUGCAAGACACCAUCCACGCUCUGAUCGAGGAGAACAUCCACCUCCACGACCAGCUGGAGAACCUGACGAGAGCCCUGCGCGAGCUGCGACAGCUCCUGUUCCAGCACAGCGGCGAUCACACUCAUGAACACGAUGAGGAACUUCAGCAUCUCUGGGAGGAAUGGUCACAGCACAGCAUCACACCUGAGACUCACCUGCUGUUGGAACAUGCUCUCUGUGGACACGACCUACAUGGCUCCGCCCACUCCAGCUCAGGACACGUCCCCUUUGUAUUGAUCACUUUUAUAGUUCUUGUGCACAUUCUUUUAUGAAGUGCAUAUGCAGAACUACAGUGUGAGUGAGUCUAUUCAACUAUUUGACAUCAUUCAGAGCAGGUAGAUCUAAACCCAGUUCGAUCAACACUGACUGUCAGUCUUGGGGAAGGAUAAUACAGACUACAGAGUAGUUUAUCAGGUGAUAGAUUGAGGCCAGUGCAUGUGUUUUUUUCAACCGGGAACAUUAUACAUUCUUGCUAAAUAACAACAAACUUGAAAAUGUAAUGUGCUUAUAAACUUAUAUGUACGAGGUUUUUGUUUUGUUUUGUUUUGGUUUUUUGGCAUGUACUGUAUUUGUCAGCACUUCAUAAGUGCCAGUAAAGCAGGUAAAACGGUCUUCAGGUAAAAUACUAUUAAUCUUUGUAUAGAGAACGAGGUCAGAAGAGUUUUUUAAUGCAACUCAUUUUUAAUUUAAAUUGCUGCUGUUGCAACACAUUGGGUUGAAGAACUUGUUGAAGUGUUCAUUUGUAUUACACUCAACAAGCAAUCACUGUAAAUCAAGUCUAAAAUACAACAUAAAGGUUUUAAUUGAAAUAACCUGCUUGGUAAUGUUGCAUGUUUUUAAUAAAUGGACAAAUAAAUAGGCUACUUGUGGUAUG
This is a long non-coding RNA of Cyprinus carpio (common carp), 1811 nucleotides long. NCBI's taxonomy places the organism in Eukaryota, Metazoa, Chordata, Actinopteri, Cypriniformes, Cyprinidae. The record is from Ensembl.